RNAcentral lists this ribosomal RNA (497 nucleotides) under uncultured Sphingobacteriales bacterium. RNAcentral's name for it is "bacterial SSU rRNA". It matches the Rfam family "Bacterial small subunit ribosomal RNA", at positions 39 to 527 of the family's 1533-position model. Lineage: Bacteria; Pseudomonadati; Bacteroidota; Sphingobacteriia; Sphingobacteriales. The record is from RNAcentral.
AGCGGCAGGCCCUUAUACAUGCAAAGUUCGGACGGUAACAUUGGUGCUUGCACCAGAUGACGAGUGGCGCACGGGUGCGUAACGCGUAUGCAACCUACCUUUUACUGGAGUAUAGCCCAGAGAAAUUUGGAUUAAUCCUCUAUAAUAUCUAUUAAUCUCAUGAUUUUUAGAUUAAAGUUUUAACGGUAAAAGAUGGGCAUGCGUCUUAUUAGUUUGUAGGUGAGGUAAUGGCUCACCUAGACUACGAUAGGUAGAGGCCCUGAGAGAGGGAUCCCCCACACUGGUACUGAGACACGGACCAGACUCCUACGGGAGGCAGCAGUAAGGAAUAUUGGACAAUGGACGAAAGUCUGAUCCAGCCAUGCCGCGUGCAGGAUGACGGCCCUAUGGGUUGUAAACUGCUUUUAUACAGGAAGAAACACUCCGACGUGUCGGAGCUUGACGGUACUGUAAGAAUAAGGAUCGGCUAACUCCGUGCCAGCAGCCGCGGUAAUUCA